Molecule: ribosomal RNA, 1374 nt
Filed under: Nesterenkonia halotolerans
Lineage: Bacteria; Bacillati; Actinomycetota; Actinomycetes; Micrococcales; Micrococcaceae
Description: bacterial SSU rRNA
Rfam family: Bacterial small subunit ribosomal RNA
Source: RNAcentral
AGUCGAACGAUGAAGANCGUGCUUGCACGGUUGGAUUAGUGGCGAACGGGUGAGUAUCACGUGAGUAACCUUCCCUUAACUCUGGGAUAAGCCCGGGAAACUGGGUCUAAUACCGGAUACGACCAGUCCUCGCAUGGGGUGCUGGUGGAAAGAUUUAUCGGUUUUGGAUGGACUCGCGGCCUAUCAGCUUGUUGGUGAGGUAAAGGCUCACCAAGGCGAUGACGGGUAGCCGGCCUGAGAGGGUGACCGGCCACACUGGGACUGAGACACGGCCCAGACUCCUACGGGAGGCAGCAGUGGGGAAUAUUGCACAAUGGGCGAAAGCCUGAUGCAGCGACGCCGCGUGCGGGAUGACGGCCUUCGGGUUGUAAACCGCUUUCAGCAGGGAAGAAGCGCAAGUGACGGUACCUGCAGAAGAAGCGCCGGCUAACUACGUGCCAGCAGCCGCGGUAAUACGUAGGGCGCGAGCGUUAUCCGGAAUUAUUGGGCGUAAAGAGCUCGUAGGCGGUUUGUCACGUCUGCUGUGAAAGCCCGGGGCUCAACCCCGGGUGUGCAGUGGGUACGGGCAGACUAGAGUGCAGUAGGGGAGACUGGAAUUCCUGGUGUAGCGGUGAAAUGCGCAGAUAUCAGGAGGAACACCGAUGGCGAAGGCAGGUCUCUGGGCUGUUACUGACGCUGAGGAGCGAAAGCAUGGGGAGCGAACAGGAUUAGAUACCCUGGUAGUCCAUGCCGUAAACGUUGGGCACUAGGUGUGGGGAACAUUCCACGUUUUCCGCGCCGUAGCUAACGCAUUAAGUGCCCCGCCUGGGGAGUACGGCCGCAAGGCUAAAACUCAAAGGAAUUGACGGGGGCCCGCACAAGCGGCGGAGCAUGCGGAUUAAUUCGAUGCAACGCGAAGAACCUUACCAAGGCUUGACAUGGACCGGACCGCUGCAGAGAUGCAGUUUCCCUUCGGGGUCGGUUCACAGGUGGUGCAUGGUUGUCGUCAGCUCGUGUCGUGAGAUGUUGGGUUAAGUCCCGCAACGAGCGCAACCCCUAUCCUAUGUUGCCAGCACGUUAUGGUGGGGACUCAUGGGAGACUGCCGGGGUCAACUCGGAGGAAGGUGGGGACGACGUCAAAUCAUCAUGCCCCUUAUGUCUUGGGCUUCACGCAUGCUACAAUGGCCGGUACAAUGGGUUGCGAUACUGUGAGGUGGAGCUAAUCCCUAAAAGCCGGUCUCAGUUCGGAUCGAAGUCUGCAACUCGACUUCGUGAAGUUGGAGUCGCUAGUAAUCGCAGAUCAGCAACGCUGCGGUGAAUACGUUCCCGGGCCUUGUACACACCGCCCGUCAAGUCACGAAAGUGGGUAANNCCCGAAGCCGGUGGCCUAACCCU